UUGAACGCUGGCGGCAGGCCUAACACAUGCAAGUCGAGCGCGAAAGGUUUUCGGACUGAGUAAAGCGGCGGACGGGUGAGUAACGCGUGGGAAUCUGCCCAGUAGUGGGGGACAACAGUCGGAAACGACUGCUAAUACCGCAUACGCCCUACGGGGGAAAGGGGGGGAUCUUCGGACCUCUCGCUAUUGGAUGAGCCCGCGUCGGAUUAGCUAGUUGGUAGGGUAAAGGCCUACCAAGGCUACGAUCCGUAACUGGUCUGAGACGGUGAUCAGUCAGCCUGGAACCGAGACACGGUCCAGAUUCCAAAGGGAGGCGGGAGUGGAGAAUAUGGGACUAUGGGGGCAACCCUGAUCCGGCCAUGCCGCGUGUGUGAAGAAGGCCUUGAGGUUGUAAAGCACUGUCAGUGGGGAGAAAGGUUUGUCACCUAAUACGUGAUGAAAUUGGUGUUACCCACAGAAGAAGCACCGGCUAACUCCGUGCCAGCCGCCGCCGUAA
This 496-nucleotide ribosomal RNA is filed under the name uncultured bacterium. Its description in RNAcentral is "partial 16S ribosomal RNA". It matches the Rfam family "Bacterial small subunit ribosomal RNA", at positions 30 to 523 of the family's 1533-position model. The record is from RNAcentral.